RNAcentral lists this ribosomal RNA (252 nucleotides) under uncultured bacterium. RNAcentral's name for it is "partial 16S ribosomal RNA". It matches the Rfam family "Bacterial small subunit ribosomal RNA", at positions 524 to 776 of the family's 1533-position model. The record is from RNAcentral.
UACGUAGGGCGCAAGCGUUGUCCGGAAUUAUUGGGCGUAAAGAGCUCGUAGGCGGUUUGUCGCGUCUGCUGUGAAAACCUAAGGCUCAACCUUGGGCUUGCAGUGGGUACGGGCAGACUAGAGUGCGGUAGGGAGACUGGAAUUCCUGGUGUAGCGGUGAAAUGCGCAGAUAUCAGGAGGAACACCGGUGGCGAAGGCGGGUCUCUGGGCAGUAACUGACGCUGAGGAGCGAAAGCGUGGGGAGCGAACAGG